This 73-nucleotide transfer RNA is filed under the name Stegodyphus mimosarum. It matches the Rfam family "tRNA". From Rfam's summary of the family: Transfer RNA (tRNA) molecules are approximately 80 nucleotides in length. Their secondary structure includes four short double-helical elements and three loops (D, anti-codon, and T loops). Lineage: Eukaryota; Metazoa; Arthropoda; Arachnida; Araneae; Eresidae. The record is from Rfam by way of RNAcentral.
GUAUUCGUAGUGUAAUGGCCAGCACACUCGACGCGUAUUCGAGAGAUCCGAGGUUCGAAUCCCGGCGAGGAGA